GAUGAACGCUGGCGGCGUGCCUAACACAUGCAAGUCGAGCGUGAACCCUGCGAAUGAAACUUCGGUCGAUUUUGCAGGGGGAAAGCGGCGGACGGGUGAGUAAUGCGUAGGUAACCUGCCCCAUACUGAGGGAUAGCCUCGGGAAACCGGGAUUAAUACCUCAUAACACCGUAUAUUCGCAUGGAUGUGCGGUCAAAGAUUUAUCGGUAUGGGAUGGGCCUGCGUCUGAUUAGCUGGUUGGUGGGGUAACGGCCUACCAAGGCGACGAUCAGUAGCCGACCUGAGAGGGUGAUCGGCCACAUUGGAACUGAGACACGGUCCAAACUCCUACGGGAGGCAGCAGUGGGGAAUAUUGCACAAUGGGCGAAAGCCUGAUGCAGCAACGCCGCGUGAGCGAAGAAGGCCUUUGGGUCGUAAAAGCUACUGUCGGGUAGGAAGAAUAAUGACGGUACUACCCGAGGAAGCCCCGGGCUAACUACGUGCCCAGCAGCCGCGGUAAAAGUACUCU
Molecule: ribosomal RNA, 508 nt
Filed under: uncultured bacterium
Lineage: Bacteria
Description: bacterial SSU rRNA
Rfam family: Bacterial small subunit ribosomal RNA
Source: RNAcentral